UGGGUAUCCACUCAAGAUCAGUUUGGAACAGCCCUCUUAAAAUUGAUUUUUCUUCUUCAAAAAAAAUUAACUUGCGAAUUUGAUCGAAGCCUGGAUCGCGAUCAACUCUUUGAUCUUUUUCUUGAUCUUUUUCUUCUCUUCUUCUCUUACUUUUUCUUUCCCAAAUUAUGAAGCAACUAAGGACUAGAAACCAGCAAUCAAGAAGAAUGCCCAAACCCCUUUUGGGAAUGA
RNAcentral lists this long non-coding RNA (231 nucleotides) under Elaeis guineensis (African oil palm). Its description in RNAcentral is "long non-coding RNA (EGUI_LNC064728)". The record is from RNAcentral. Lineage: Eukaryota; Viridiplantae; Streptophyta; Magnoliopsida; Arecales; Arecaceae.